GGAGUUCCCAUUGUGGCUCCGUGGGUUGAGAAGCUGACUAAUAUCCAUGAGAAUGUGGCUUGGGUCCCCGGCCUUCACUCAGUGGGUGAAGGAUUCGGUGUUGCCACAAGGUGUGGUGUAGGUCGAAGAUGCCACUUGGAUCCCAUGUUGCUAUGCCUGCUUCUCCAAUUCGACCCCUAGCCCAGGAACUUCCAUACGCCGAGGGUGAGGACCUAAAAAAAGAAAAAAAACAAAAACAGAAACCCUCCCCCCUCAGGAUCUAAGUAAAAUCUUCAGAGUCCUGUGCCCCAGCCAAACCUACAUUCAGUAACACCCGCAUCUCUGCAGUUAAGACGGUCAGUAGGAGGGCGGGGGUCCUGUCUGGACUCCGUAUUUGGCUUUUAGCGCAGGCUUUGCACUUAGCGGGUGACCAUGGGUGGGGGGGCGGACAGAUGGGCAGGUGCAGACUGGCAUUCACAGGACCCAAAGGUACAGCUGCCCAAUGAUUGUCAUAAUGAAAUACAGUCCGUUCUCUUUAUUCACGAUAGUCAUGUUAACGUAGCCAUGAGUGCGGAAUUAGUGACUCCUGAGCCAUAGCUCCCAGGGGAAUACAGAAUUGGAUUCCUUUGAGCCCAUGCACCUAACAUCUUCAUCAGUCACCCAACAUACUGUUUUAUGUUUAUUUCUGUUUAAAUACACCUUUUUAAAUAUCUGUGGCUGAUUCAUUAAACUAUCACUCAUACCUGAAUGAAGCUCAGGUAACGCCCGUAUUUUCUCCAUGAGACACAUCACAGCCUUCUUGCACUUAGGAUCGUAGGCGCAACGCUUGGGGGUCGUUUUAAGCAGCGAAGUCAACAAAAAAGGCCCAACCUGCUGAAAGGAGGCACCGCAUAGACAGAAAAGGACGCUUGUUUACUGCAUGAGAGCUGAACCAAGAAGGCAGAGCAUGGCCUUGUUCCACCCCAGCUGAGAACAUGCGGCGCAUAGUGGCAGGUGACUCCAGUGUUUCACAGCGUGUCCCAGAAUGACCGCCCAAGGGGCAGGAGUUAUAGCUAAAUGUUCGUGAGUAGGCGAGUUCGCAAAGAGAGAAUCCGUGAAUAACGAGGUCGACGGUAAUUCCAUUCUGUUGGUGAAUCCCAGAUGCCCCUCCCCCUCCCCCCCAAAUUCAGCAUCUAAGGAUGGGCUGCCCAGUCCAGCAUGGCCCUCCAGCACCCCGUGCCAACUCUUGGGUCAGUGUCUGUGCCACGCCACGGCAGACUCUUGACUGGGGAGGUGGAUUUUGCUGCCUUGGCCCGCCCUGGAGGAGGGGUGAGGAAGCCUUGCCCUGCCCCCCCCUCCCCUCCCCCGCCUUCCCUACUGCACAUGAGGCCGCCCUGGUGAACCAGACCCACACGUGCAUAAAGGGAGGUGGGGUGAUACGAGCAGGCAGCCACCUGUGACUUCUCUAAGCCAAGCACUGCACCAGCACCUGGGGAAGACCCCCCUGGCGGUUUGGGGGAGCCUGUUUUGACCUGAUCUUUAUUUACGGCUCACAAAGGAAGUAAAUAAAUAGCUCUCUUUGUGUGUCUGUGUGGAUGUGCGCGUGCCAGACUGUAUGUGCCUGCUCCACACCGUUAAAAACCGUGAGCCGGCCCCAGAGGAAGUGGUAACAAAACGAUUGUUUGUUUUAUUUUCCAUUUACCCUCCCAUCCCUUCCUCACCUCCACCCUUUUAAUGGGUGCCCAGAGGUGUUCUUUGCAGGCCUGGGAUCCAGUCAUUUGUCCUUCCAUUUCUGCAUUCACUCAUGCUGGUGUGGGCAGAAGCCGCAGAGUGCCAGCUGCUGGCAUAUGUAAAAGUAGAGGAGAAAGUGAGAUGGGAAAAGGGUGCUUUGGUCUGCGGGCGCAACUUUCUUCCUUUAAGGACAUGUGCCGCACAGGGGAACAGGGGUCACCGUAUUCUCUCUCUGUGCCUCUUCUCUUUCCCUGCACCUGCCUGCCUACCCCAAGCCUCUGUGAGCGCUUGCCUGGAUUCCUCUGUAUUGCUAUAGCAUCCCAGCUCAGACUUUUGGAGGCUUCCUCCCCUGGGCCUGUGAAAUUAAAUUCCACUUGGGUGUUGGUUCUCCUAGCAUCUAGGCUCCACUCACCUGUCCAGCCCUCUUACCCACUUUAAACCUUCAUCGCCCCAUUCCUGCCCACAAGAGUGCCUGAUAGAUCCUGGGGCGCCCCUGCUUCCAUCAUUUUGCUCUCACCGUCCCCUCUUCUUGGAAUGCACUUUGUCCUCCUCCCAGCCAUCCCUGUCUGUCCCAACCUGGCCAUUCUUCAAGGCCUGGUUCAGAGCCACUCCACUGCUCCCCCCACAUCUUGCCUUCUGGGUUAGCAUGGCCUAAUGUAUGUUAGGUGUUGGUGCAACUUCUUGUGCUUGCCAGACCUUGAGCUCCUUGAGGACAGGGUCUGACCUUAAUCGGCUUGCCCCUCCUAUCAUUCGUUUAUUCAUUUAGCCCGUGUGAAGGGUGAGGGUUUGUGCCUGAUGACUCUGGGUUCCUGUGCUUGUUUCUCCAACGGUACCCAUCACCGCGUACAACACCCCCUUGGUAAAUGCAAAGUCCACCAAAUGAGGCUGCAAGCGUGAAGUCUUCAAGGACAAGGUCUCUAUGCUGUGGGCAUCUGCAGGUGAGGGCGAGCCCGGAAGGCUGGGGGUGAGGGCAGGGCUUCCGGAUUGCUGAGCAGUCUUUGUAAUAAACAGGUGGAGUUUGGAGGGUUGGGAGGGAGGUGGAGACAGGGGCAGGGCAGCAGCCAUGAGCAUCUUUGACCAGAGUCUGCGAUUCUUGCUCCAGGCCCUUACAUGUGUCCAGACCCUGGGAGGGCGCUGCAGAUGGAGACUUGAACCACUCACAUCCGUGGACAGGGUCCUUCUGAGGACCUGAUCCCCAGAGUGAAGCAAAGGAGGGCAGAGAGAGAUAGCCAAGAAUUUCCUGUGCUUUGGGUCAGAUACAGGUAGAGAGCAUGCAUGCAUACAUGCAUUCAGUCUUUAUUUUUUAAGGUUUAAAAAAAUUGUAAAAUGAUAAUUUUAAAAAACCUAAACCCAAAAUAUUAUAAAAUGAAUACUUGCUCAGUAUAGGAAAUUUGGACAAAAGAGAAAAAUGGGAAAAAGCUUGGGAAAUCAUGCAUAGUUCUUACCACUCAAAGAUAGCCCUCGUUUACAUCUAAAUGUCUUCCCUUUUAGCCUUCUGUCUUUUUUAUUGAAAUAACUGUCAUGCAAUUAUUUAAACACCUAUUUAGUACUUGAAAGUUUUUAUAUUUAAUGUUUCAGUUAAAUUCAUUAAAUUGAAUAGUGAAAAAAAUGCAAUUAUGAAAGUAAAGCAAACUUUGUCAUUGGUAAAACUGCGUUAUAGACAGGAAGAAGAUAAAAGUGCAAAUUCUGCCCCACCCUCCAAGUGCCAUCCCCCAGGGAGAACCAGCGUUAAGGGCUGGUAUGUGCCCUUCUGAACCUUUUUUUCUGUGCAUAUGCACUCGGUUUUAUUCUUUUAAAAUAAGAUCAUACAAAACUGCUCAUAUACAGUUGUUUUUCUUUUUACAAAACAAGGUCAUUUUGCAUGUCCAAUGUUGCAUGUCCUUCUUUUUCAAACAACUUUUUUAUGUUAUGUAAAUUUACACACGCAUCUGACAUUAUACAAAAUGAAUCCAUACCAUUAAUGCAUUAUAUAUGGUACAAUUAUAGACUGUAAUUUACAACAACUGUUUGAAAAUAUGGACUAGUUUGCCUGAAAACACAGGGAUAUCUAAUUUGUACAUUUUAGAACAUGACUGAAAUAUCCCACUGAUUAAUUAGAAUAAUUUAAGAAUUUAACAUUUAAUAUGAGUUAAAAUUUUGUUUUGUUUUUUUGCUUUUUUUUAGGGCCACACGUGUGGCAGAUGGAAGUUCCCAGGCUAGAGGUAGAAUCUGAGCUGCAGCUGCCGGCCUACAUGGGGUCUGAGGCGGGUCUGUAAUCUACAGCUCACGGCAAUGCCGAAUCCUUAACCCUCUGAGCAAGCCUAGGGAUUAAACCCGCAGCAUCCUCAUAGUUACUAGUCAGGUUCGUUACUGCUGAUCCACAAUGGGAACUCUUAGUUAAAGUAUUUCUUAUUUAUUUUUAAUUAUUAUUAUUUUUGCUUUUUAGGGCCACACCCGUGCGGCCCUAAAAAGCAAAUAAAUAAAUAAAAAUAAAAUAAAAUGUAAAUUCCAGCUAGAACCAAGUGUGCUCUGAUGUUAAAAAAUCCUCUGCAGUGCAAGUCACCUCAAAUCCCUCUUGUUAGGAAACUGGGUGUGAACUAUAAAUAAAUUACACAAGUACAGGAGAAGAGAGAUAUGGCUUCUCUAUUACAGAUAUGCUGAAUCCAUUUAUUCAGCAUGUGUUUAUUGAAUGUCCAACCUGGGCUCGGCCUUGCUCUAGGUGUUGGGGAUUCAGAACAAGACAAAAUUGCUGCCUUCAGGAUGCUUGCAUUCUAGUGGGUGGAGACUCAUGCUUGGGCAAGCUCAGAGAUAUGAUGUGAUAUUGGGUGGUGAUAACUGCUGAAACCAAGAGCAGUGAACCAGGGUUCUCAAGAGAAAAAUCAAGUCGAGUCUAAAUUAAUUGAGUCACCUGUGUGUUGCAGUUGCCAAAAAGCCAAAUUCCAUCUGAGGCUGUGUGAACUGAAUGCCCAGCACCUAGCUUGGGUUCCCUCUGCCCUCAGAUUGUCAAGCUGGACCCAGAGUGUGGCAUCUACAUUCUAGAAGGACAUUGAGAAGUCUCAACUUGUUCAGGGGAGAAUGAUUAAGAUCACAGGGGUGGAAGUGCUGUAGCACCAUCCAGAAGACAGGACCAGGAUCUGUGGAUAUAGGUUUCAGGGAGGUAGGUUGAGGAAUUUUCUUAUGGUCCGGACUGACCAGUGAUGGAAUGGGCUGUGAGAGAGGAUGGGAGUCCAUCCUCCACAGUGCUUCAGAAGGGCCUGGAGGAGUUCUCACCGUGGUGCAACGGGACCUCCAGCAUCUCUAAAGCUCUGGGAUGCAGGUUCGAUCCCCCUGCGGGGCAGAGUGGGUUAAGGAUCUGGCAUUGCUGCCGCUGUGGCGCAGGUUGCAACUGUGGCUCAGAUCUGAACCUUGGUCUGGGAACUUCCAUAUGCCAUGGUGCAGCCGAAAAAAAGAGAAGAGCCUGGAUUCACCUAAGAGGGUAUCAUGAAUCUGGUGGAAGCUGGAUUCAAUCUGUACGGCUCCUUCAAGUUCCAGGUCAUAAUGUACAUGAGAAGAAGAAAGGAUUUUCUGCAUGUAACUUGCAGCAGAUAAUUUCAUAUCAGCCACAUAUUAUCUCCACAAUAGCCAACAACCACCAAGGGCUUAAGUAGCCUCUCAACAUGUGGAAAUCAGAAAUUCUGACAACUCUUUCACUCAUCACUUUAGUUAGGUUGGUGUCCAGAUCUGGG
RNAcentral lists this long non-coding RNA (5393 nucleotides) under Sus scrofa (pig). RNAcentral describes it as "lncRNA (ENSSSCG00045009513.1)". The record is from RNAcentral. Lineage: Eukaryota; Metazoa; Chordata; Mammalia; Artiodactyla; Suidae.